CCUGCCAAUCCCAGCUGUAGAUAAGUGCAGCUGAUGAACUGUGCAGGCUUCUCUCUUUGGCGUUGUUUGUCCUGUGUCUGGAUACCUAAAGUGGUGAUUUUUUUCCCUAUCUUCUAUCCGCUAAAAGGCAGAUGUGGGGUUUUAUCAGCACCUUUAUCAAGAAUACUUCACUGAAUGGGAUGCUUUAAAGCAAGGCUACUACUUGUUUUUUGUUUGUACGGGUUUUUUUGUUUUUGUUCUUUGUUUCCCUCCCACAUUAUGACUUUACAAAAUAGCUUUCAACCUGAAGGAUCUCAAAGCUUCUUAGCAGCUAGUAUUCAAGUCACAGACAAGGAUCACAUCAUCCACAAAUGGAGGAGAUUAGCAACAUGCUGCUGUGUUACUCAACAUCACAGGGCGGGCAGUUUAAGAACUUAUUGUCCAGCUGAAACUUCAGGGAGAAUUUAAGAAGGCAAAAAAGUAAUUAAUUGAAUUGGAUUUGGCCAGGACAGAAGCUUUAAUAUGUUGUAUCUUCUUCUUUCCAUUUCAGAGCAGCUUCAUGGAUAUGGGCAACAAUACUAUAACCCUGCCAUCAAUUCCUUUCAGGGCUUGUUCCUCCAUUCAGCAUAAUUCAGUCAUGGUAGUAUCCAGCCAUCAAGUCAAUGAUCCUUUAUUUGUCUCAGAAUCACUCCAUUUCAGACCUGCCAUCUUUCCAAGAGCUCUCAUCUCUACUGCCUCCAGGCUUUUGAUGUUCAUUUUAUUUAAAGCUGCUAUUUCCAGUCCAUAGAGUAAUACUGUUAUCAUUGUUUUGAUAAAUAUGCACUUUGUUACCAAACAGAAUGUUUUUAUUGGUGCAUAAUUUCAUCAUUUUCUGUGCAGGUCCUACAGCCAAUGCACAUCUCCAUUUUAACUUGUUUUUGAUGGAACUGUUGACAAUGAUUGGUCUGCCAAGGUACACAAAAAUCUAAUUGUUCUAUGGCUUCAAAGAUGCUGCAUGUCAACAUUUUGUCUGCUGCCUCUUUUCCAGCUAUAACUGCUUUGUUUCUUGACAUUUCAUGUCAGGCCACAUCAAGCACACUGAUAUUACAAGGUAGUAAAGGGUAUCAUCAUUAAUUCAAACAUGCUGGCCGGUGCUGAAAUAUGCGCAUAACCAUACAUUUUGAUGAUACAAUGUCAUGUUCUCCAACUUCCUUGUAAUGUCCAGUUGAAGCACAGGAUGACAAACUAUGAUACUCCAUGUCUCUUUCUCUUUCAUCAAACUUUUACUUGAAGCACUUGCUUAAUUUUCUAUUUAUUCUUGCAAAACCACAGACAUUUGUAUACAUAGCUUUUAUUGUUGCAGUAAUCUUAUUUGGAAUUGUCAUAUCAUUUUGUUUCACUCCAGACUGAAUUAUAUGACCUUAUGCCGUAAAUUGACGUUUUCACUUUUUCACAUUUACUUACAGCAUGAUUGUUUUUGGCAUGACAAACUUAUGCAUAUUUGGAUUAGCAGGAUUUUCUUUCUUCAAGAUGAGUGCAACUCUUGUCUUUAAUCUGUUAGUUGAUAUUUAUUCCCACAUCUUCUUGUAUAAUUUUUUCUGAUGCUUUGAUGACACUUGUCCUACCAGUUUUUAAUAGCUAGAGCCUGGACACAUGACACCUGCUCUGAUGUAAAUUACACCAGGACCUGGAGUGGAUAGACAGAAAGAUGUCCAGGAGUAGUUGCUCACAGUGGGUAGUAUUACAGUGCCUUGACACGGCCAAUACGGCUACAACCUGGAUAUCUGACACAUGGAAGAUAUUGAAUUUUAGCUGAUUUUUAAAAAUUGAAAUUUUAAUAAUUUCCCAAGCAGAAAACAACUUUCACCAUCUGAAACCUGAGAUACUUCUUCUGCCUUUGUCUAAGGUAAUUUGCAUCAUCACAGCCUCACAGGAGAGCUGAGAGACUCUUUACCAGCUAAGAACUGCCUGCCCAGAGGAGUUUUCCAUCUAUUGACUCCUCUGUGAAAUCCUAUGAAAUAUGAACUUUCAUUUCUUCCCAGGAGAACUUUUGUAAUCUUUUUUCAAAUGCCUGAUAAAGGGUGUUUGUGCCUGAAAGCUUGCAAUUAAAGAAUUUUUUUUUGCAAAAAUCUUGUUGGUCUAAUAAAAGAUCACCUCUACCAUAAGCCCUGAUUGCUUUUUCCUCUAGACCAAUAUGGCUACAACCUGGAUACUUGACACUAGGUGGCAGGAGAACAGAUCAUAGCAAACAUAAAGCUUAUAGCAUUGUAGCUACUAGUAUCAUUUUACUCUUGAUUUUUCCCAGAGUAACUAUACCACCUUCAAGUAAGCUAUGCUGGUGUAGCCUUGUGAAUUAUGUAUUUGCUCCUUGUUCACACAAAUGUAAAACUAAUUACAAAUGUAAUGGGUCCAUGACCAAAACUGAUACAUUUUGUUUUGAAAGAGUUGUGGAAAAAUCUAGAUUGGUAGCUUUUCCUGUGUGUUCCGAUGCACCUUUUCAUGAGCAAGCCAGAUGCUUCAUAUGACAAACAGCACACCUGGCUUUUAACAGUCAUGCCUUUUAUAUAAUGUUCAGGUACAGAAUAUAUCAUCCUUAGAAUAGAAAAUGUUCCUCAUCAGUCCUCAGGACUCUUCUGUUUAUUCACACUGACAUUUCCAAACCCCUUUUGAGAUCAAUGGCCUGCAUGCAAAGAGUAUGUCUUAGUAUUUUGAUAGUACUGUGGACAGUAUAGGAAUUGUCAUACCGGAUAGGUUCAGUGGUUCAUCUGGUCUAGAUCAUGCCUCCAACAGCAGCAAAAGCCAAUUGUACAACCAGUUUUCCCCUAACAAAUCUGCCUGUGGAUGUUUUCAUUACCUGCAGAAGUGCCUGAUCCAGUUUUGAAAUUUGUUAAUGCUAAGACUCAGGAACAUGUAAUGGUAGUGAGGGCAAUAGUUUAAUUGUGAAUUAGAUAAAAAGUGCUUUUAUCAUUUUAAAUGUGUUAAUUUUCAAUGUCCGCAAAUGUUUCCUUGUUGUUCUAUUAUGAGAGGCCAAAUAAAAGCUCGCUGUUUUCUGUGCCCUCUCCUGUCAUUCAUAAUUAUGUACAUCCCUUUUUUGGAGAGAGAAAUUUAGCACUAAAUAUCUCUGUUAUUUGAGUUGUAAAUUCCUUCCAUGUGUUGUUUCUAUAAUCAUGAUUCAUUAUACAAAU
Long non-coding RNA from Alligator sinensis (Chinese alligator), 3143 nucleotides. RefSeq lists it as uncharacterized. The record is from RefSeq and is a predicted model, not a curated record. Lineage: Eukaryota; Metazoa; Chordata; Crocodylia; Alligatoridae. The transcript is spliced from 3 exons.